GCUGGGCACGUGACACAUGCCUGUAAUCCCAGGCCUUGGGAGGCUGAGGCAGGAUGAUUGCAAGUUCAAAGUCAGCCUCAGCAUUUGCAAGGCACUAAGCAACUGAGACCCUGUCUCUA
RNAcentral lists this small RNA (119 nucleotides) under Marmota monax (woodchuck). Lineage: Eukaryota; Metazoa; Chordata; Mammalia; Rodentia; Sciuridae. The record is from RNAcentral.